RNAcentral lists this small RNA (27 nucleotides) under Bombyx mori (domestic silkworm). Its description in RNAcentral is "ovarian small RNA-20498". Lineage: Eukaryota; Metazoa; Arthropoda; Insecta; Lepidoptera; Bombycidae. The record is from RNAcentral.
UACAUUUCAUGGUUGUGCUCGCCUUAG